AGGUCUGUGUCUUUAUUCCUGUCUUAUUACCCUUUGUAAUUUUUUUAAUGACACAUUUUAUUUGUAUUGUCACCUCCCUUGAUCACGAGCCCCUAGAAAUCAGGGAUCCAAUUCAUUUCACUAACAUUGGUUUAGAUACUUAGGAUUAGCAGUGAACAAAGCACACAAAAAUCCCUAUCCUUAGGGCGUUUACUUUCCAGUUCAAGGCGACAGACAAAGUUUAAAAAGGGGGGGAAAGUGUAUAUGUAUGACGGUAAGUGCUAUGUCAAAAACAAAAUGGGGAAGAGAAAUAGGGAGUGUGCUGAGAGGGAGAAAGGGGAGGUUGCAGUGCAGUUGUGAAAGGGUAAUCAGAGAAGACCUCACCAAAAAGAUGAGUCAAGAGCUGAAGAUGGUGAGGGAUAAGCCACUCGGGGUGAAGAGAAUUGCAGGCAAAGGAAAAUAGCAAAUGAAAAGACCUGGGGGCAGGGGCAUGCUCAGUGUUUGCAGAAACCAGCAAGGGCCCGGAGAAGGUGGGGCAGAGAAAGCAGCAACUAGAACAGCAAGAGGUAAAGUCAAGAAGAUGACAGCUGAACAGGUCACGUAGGGCCGCGUAGUGUGUGGAGUGCCUUGUGAGGAGUUUGGGUAGUACUCUAAGUAAGAUGGAAGCCACCGGAGGGAUUUUUAGCCAAAGAAUGAUAGGUUUAUGACCUGUUUGAGAAUUUCUGAUUACCGUUAGGAAAAAGACUUGGGGGGGAGGGGAGAGGGAGCCAGGCUAGAGAUACUGAUGACUCCAACCUGGAUGGCAUUAGUGUAGAUGGGAAGAAACGAUCAGAUUCUGGUUCAAGGUAGCCAAUAAGAUUUGCUCAUAGAUCUAACUAUGUGGUGUAAAAAAAGGAGUCAAAGUUUGGCACCUGAGCAAACUAGAAGCCUGGAGUUGUAGUUAAUUAAGGUGAGGAACCUGGGGGCGGCGGGUGGGGGGUGGUGGCGUUCAGCAGGACUGGAGACAGAUGAAGAGCCUCGCUUUUGACAGGUUAAGUUGGAAGUGCCUGUUAAGCAUCCAGAUGGAGGCGUCAGAGCCGCGGACAUCCGGACCUGGAAUUCAGGAGUGCGUUCUGGGCCAGGCACAACAUUUGGGAUUCAUGAGUGGAUAGGUGAUAUUUACAGCUGUGGGACUGGAUGAGAUCAUCAAGGAAAUGAGUGCUGCUAGAGAAGAAAGAAGUCUGGGCACUCCAACAUUAAGAAGCUGAGGACAGACACGAGGAAUCAGCAAAGGAACCCAGGAAGGAGCAAUCAGGAAGUAAAAAGGAGAAUCCUUGGAGAGCGUGGGGACCUGAAAAGGAGGUGAAAAGUUUCACGGAGGUGGGAAUGAUCUACAGCUUCAGAUGUGACUGAUGAGCCACCUAAGGUGCGGAUGUGGACCGAAAUGGCCAUUUUAUUUAGCAACUGACUGAUGGCAAGCAUCGUUUCGUUGGAGUGGCGAGAUCAAAAGCUCUGUUGGAGUAGGUGCCAAAGGUAAUAGAAACUGUAGACUUCUGACAGUUUUGCAGUAGAGAGAUGGAGAGGAGUUUUCUUUUUUUAAGAUGGGGAGAAUUAUACCGUAUGUUGAUGGGAAAGAUAAACAGAGAGGGAGAAACGGAUGAGUAGGGCAGAGAAGCAAUGUCCUUGAGAAAAUCAUUUGUGCUUUACUGGGGGUGUUUCCAAAACUCCCUGCACUUCCCUUGGACAUUUCUUUCUCUUCCUGAAUAGACUAGGAGCUCUUGGGAAGCACAGUGUCCCCACUUAAAGCAGUAGUGACCUUCACGAAACUUGAGCUCUACUAGUUAGGCAGGAGAAAAUGGGAUGUAGCACACAAGUGAAGUGAUUGUCCUUUUCUGGGAAUGCAACAUCUCAUCCCAUCCAUAGUUAAUAGAACAAGCAGAGGGCAAGGGGAUAGGUCCAGGCUGGAGGGUAGAUGUGGUAGUGGGAAGCUUUCUUGUGGCUUCUACACCUCCACGAAGUAGGAAGUGGUUAUUGGCUGAAAGGGAGGAUCGGGGGACCAGACCUCAUGUGUCUGUGUGACUCCUCUGCGCCCAGGAGAGUGGUCAUUUAUUGUCAAGAGAAUAAAUGAAUGGUUAAGUGAAUUGUUUAGCUAGAUGGGCCUUUGAUUUUAUAGUUACAUGUUAAUAAUGAACAAGUAAUUAAAAUUCCCCUAGUGUCUGGAAUGGCUGUUCUUCAUCAAGUAUGGUUAGCAAAUAUUAGCUGACUUGAAUCUUGAGCACCUUAAUAUUUUCUUUCCUUGAAGUGAUUUUCCUUGUCAUUGAGGAAUCUACCUUGAUACCAAACUUAACUAGAUUUAAAUUUUUAAAUCAACAAAUUUAAGUAUUUAUAACUAAUGCUGCUUUACAUGCUGGAAGCGGGAGAAACUUACAUUUCCCAAAGAGCUCAUCAAAGUCUAGUCAGGAAAAGAGAUGGCCUAGGUAAGCACAGAGAGCUCUCAGGAAAAUGGCUUAUCAAAAAUCCUUUCUUGCCCAUUCAGAUGAUUCUAGAAAAUAGAGCAGUGUUUACCCCAGGUCUACUUUGUAACGUAGUAGUGAGAGAAGGAUGCAGAGAUGCCAACUCCUGUUACCCUGACUUCUACCCCUGGUUCCAUGGGAAGACACUUCCAGUUCCAGGCCUUCUAUCCCUUUACCUUACUCAGGAAGUAGGGAAUUUGAAGGGCAAGUUUCAUUUCCAGAGAACCCAUGGGGCAGUGAGCUAAGGACCAGGACUCAUACCUUCUAUUAUGUUUCUCUUUCCUGUUCCUGUCCUGACUUCCUGCUUCCAAGGUUCAUACAUAAGAAAUGGGGCUCUUCUUAGCUUAUUUUCUGUGAAAACCUGGUCAGUGACAGACCCGAAACAUCACAAUUGGCUCAACCACUUAAUUUUGCCUAGAGAGUCAGGAAUUAAGAAAUACUUAGUCAGCUUUUUUCCUGAUUGAGUCUUGCUGAACAGUACUUUUGCUGUGUGAUUAUUGCACACUUAUACCCAACUAAUUAUCUGAACUUAAAUAGGGUAUGACUCUUCUUUCUUAACCUAAAUUAAUCAUAAUAAUAUUCUUUAGACUAUCACACUUACACAGGCUAAUAGUUGCUGGCUUUUCACCUUAUUUCUGAAGGAUAGCAUGUUUGGAUUCUGUUCUCAGAUUUUUCAGUGCUAGGUCUAAUUCAGGCCCUUAUCUGCAGGAGUCUUUUAAGUCACCCUCUUGUCUAUACAAAGGACUCCAAUCUCUUCUUCAUGCUGAGGUCACAUUAAUCUUCCCAGAGUAAGCACACUCCUUGCUCACAGACUUCAGUGGCUGCCCACUGUUUUCAGAGUUGAGUCCAAACUCCUUAGAAGCCCAGCUUUCUGUCAUGACAUCAGUACGCCCCCAUACGAUGAAGCAGCAUCGAUUUCAGUAGUAGGUUCAGAUGCACUGGUUUUUAGUAAAAUACCAGAGUCAUUCUGGCCAAUGGCAGCCGUUCUAUCACUUAAAAAUAUUUUCUCAGAGAAAUAGCAAUAGUGACUCAUUGAGAAAACUUCCUUAAUCUUCUGACUCUUCUUCAAGGCCUUUCUGCUCAUAGGACUGACUACAACUCUUUAAUGCUCUGACACUUUUAUAAUUUCUUUUACUACUAGCGGUUCAAAGUAUUGAUGCAUAUAACCUUGUUGCUGGCUGUGUUAAGUUUCAAGCAUCAGAAAAUAGAUUGCUUAAGAUACUUUGCUUGGCACACCAGUAUUUUAUAUCUGAAUUGAUAUACUUGUUACUUCAAGACAGAUGGUGCAUUGCUUCUGUGCCUAAUAGCAUUUGGCAGUGCUGAAAUUUAGCCUUCUGUUCAAUCCAGAAUAAUUCAGUGAUGAGUGGGCAACUUUGUGCUUUUUAUUUUUAUUUUUUUGCUGGAUUUGAAUAUUUGGAAGUGUUUUAGCUUACUUACUAACUAUAUGUAAGCGCCUUCAUAAAAUGACAUUCCAAGUGUAGGCAAGUACAUAAUCAGCGGAUGAGCACUGUGUAUCAGUUUGGCGUUUGGCACCACUUGUUUCUAUUUUCAUUAUAGUGAUAUGUUUCUAGAAAGAUUAACGAGUAUUCGGCCACAUUUAAACAUGGGCACAAAACUUUCCAGGUUUAAAGUUAACUGUUAGGCUAAGGAGAGUUAACAUCAAAGGGGAGGGUUUGCAAAUGUUGUUGAAGUGAGUCUAAAGGAGCAGAGGUUUUUAGGUCUCAUGUUGAUUGUCUCCCCUCAGUUUCAUUUGAUUCCCCUGGUUAAUAACCUCUCCUCAGGCACCUUGCUAAGACAGCCAUUUCGUUAUUUAAGGCCUGGCUGGAAGAUUGCAAUAAAUAGCAUCUCUAAAGCCCUGUAUUUUUGUUACUUAAAUUAGAAAUCGUUUUGUAUUCUUUCUUAUUUGCAGCUUGUUAGAGCUUUCCUAGUGAUUUGCUGGAAAUGUAUUUUCUCUCCGUGUAUUUUCAAAGUAGGAUUUAUGUAAUUCUGUGGUUAUCAUUAGGGGAAGACUGGGUGUUAGGAUGCCAAAAGCCCACAACAUGAGAACACUCCAGUGGGGACAUCUGAAGAGAAACAGCAAAAGCACCGUCCUUCUGCACUUGGUUGUGGGUUCUGUUUGUUGAUGGAGGAUGUUGAUGGUUGAUUUAGGAGAGGGCACUGUGAUGUGGAGAAAACGUCCAUCCCAUUUAAGCUUUGGGAAAAGGUUUACUCCUUUGAGCUGGUGUUAAAGAUACUGUAUUGCCUGCUCUCCUAAUUCUGGAAGGAUAAAGAGAUCAAUAAAAAGUUUCGACGGAUUCUGUAAGUCAGACCUGUUUCUAUUUUUUCUACAUUUCCAGAGAAGCCAAGAUCACAAAGACUGGGGCAUUCUGUAUUACUAUUGAUUCUAUAAUGUUACUGUAAAUUCUUUUUCUGACAGUGAUAUAUUGUGCACAGGUACUCUGACCACUUCUCUAGAUUCAUUUCGUAUAACACACCCAUGGACUGAACUUCAGAGUCACCGCUUCUUUAGCAUCUACAACUUGUCUGGAAGUUGUCUGGAACAUGUCUGGAAGACUCAGUUCCUGUCUACUGUGUAGUGGCAUACCUGGGACAACGGAACUAGAAGAGUGACUUAGAAGGACACAUUUACACCCAAAGGACUCACGGCUUCUCUGAAAAUCCCUGCAAUCUGCUUAUUUAACACAGUAGGGAUAGUAACCUUAGCUCUUAAGUCCGGGUCCUGCCCAGGAAUCUUUAAAAUCAUCAUUUCCAAAAUAAAACGUUACCUUCAAAUAAAGUAUUUAUUACACAUAUAUGAAAACUAAUUACCAAGAGUUGCCACCUGACAUAUUUUGACACUUUGUCUUGAUAGAAAUGAAUAGAGAGAUCACAACUUCUAAAUUUUAGUUGUAUUAUCACUUAGAGUAAUUAAAGGUCAUUGAUGUAUCCACAAUAGUUACUUCAUGAGUAAAACACUGCAAGAGUAGUUAUUUCAAUUCUAACUCCUGGGUCUUCAGAUUCUGAACUCUAGGGUCAAAAUAGUUUAAUUAAACACCAGUCUGUGAUAGAGUAACUAAGCUUUCAAAUUUCUUAUGUACUGUCUUAUUCUGUCAGUGGAUUUUUUUUUUUCAACUUCUCUGGGCCUGACUUUCCUCAAUUAUAUAACUGAACAAAAAACAAUGAACAACACUGCAGAAAUGUUGGGAAAAUGAUGGGAGAAUUUUGUUUAGUAGUAAAACACUGAGCAGUGUAAAGUGUCUGGAGAGACUUUUUUUAAGCAGUAAAACAAUGCAAUUGCAAAUUGUAUGGAUAAUUAUAUUUUUGAGUACAGCAUGAAGCUUCACUAUUAGAACAUUGUUUUUGUGCUAAUUGGUUGUGUCGCAUCGCAAAUUGUAUGGAUUAUUAUAUUUUUGAGUGCAGCAUGAAGCUUCACUAUUAGAACAUUGUUUUUUCUUGUGCUAAUAGGUUGUGUCGCAUCUUUUUUUGUUGUUUUUUGUUUGUUUGUUUUUGUCUCUGGGCUCUGAAGAUUGGAGUUUACUCUUAAUUGCCAAGAAGGACAUAAAAGAGGUGUGGUGGAAGGGUCUGCCAGAACCAGAGGCUAAGCACACAGCAGUAUAAAACAAAUUCUUUAUUCCAGCUUCCAGAAUUCAUCCUCUUCAAACUUUCCUGUUCACUGGAAUAACGAAGCCAUUAAACAGUGGUGUCAAGAAGUCUCAUCCAGUGGUUGAAGCUCGGUAGAAAACAAGGAAGCAGGCAGUAAAGUACCUGAAGUGCAAGGGGACAAAAUGAUUGGCUCAAGAUCACACAGACGACAUCUGCUAAACCCAGGCUGGUAUUUCUGCCAUCACAGAACCUACUCUACCUAAAUAGUGCUGCUUGCUCCUUUGGCAUGGAAAGUGUACUUGAUGCAGAUGCCCUUUAUUUCUCACGUGUAUUAACCACUUUGCCUAAAAAACAAGCUCAAGAAAAGUGGAAUGAUAAUUAAGAAUGAUUGAAGAUUAUUGAUUCAAUUAGUAUGGAGAUGUUUAAGAUGGAAUUUUAAGGUUUUAUAAAGAUUGCACAAAGAAAAUGUGCUAAACGAUGUAGAUAACUUUAAAAAUUUAUAGCAGUGUUUUACCUAUGCUAUUUUACGGAUGGUGAACUCAGACCAAUGUUAGCCUUGUCAUAGUUUAUAUGCUCCAAUGCAGAAGGAAAGAAACGCAGUUGUAGUUUGGUCUGGAAGGUUGAAGCUCUUGGGUAUUUUGGGAUUGAUGGACAUAUUGCAUUUUGUAGGUUUUACACUGUAUAAUUUUCUUAAAGAGGAGUAUACAUACAGUCCUGUAUAUGAGGAUUUAAAUAGUGAUUUUAUCAAAAUUGUGUAAAUACACAAGUUACAACUAUGUAGAAAUCAUGUUUGUGGAUAGAGAUUAAAAGAUAACACAUUAGGGUGGUGAGAUUAUGGGUGAAUUUAAUCUUCCCCUCUAUAUGUGGUAACAUUGUUUUUAUAAUAUAAAGGGGAAAAUGGUUUUUAUUGUCUUGUAAAAAUUUGCCACAAUCUCCACUUUAGAAAGGCUUGUUUCCUGUCAAUGAGGUACCUUGUAAACAACUGAAAUUCAAAAGAUUUGGUUUGGUUUAUUUACUUCAGUUCUAGUUUAAUCACAGAAACCAAGGUUAAACUGGCAGAAGUACAUAUUUUCAAACCUUACUGGGAAUUUUGAGCGAAAAUAAAUGAUUGCCCCAAUCCCAGCAGGCUGUUUGCUGGCAAUGUUCAGUGCAUUGUCGAUGUUCAUACUGAUGAAGAAAUGUUUAAUAAAUGUAGCUGUCUUCAAUUUGUGUUUUUCUUUGAAACGGUGCAAGGUUAAAAGAGUCACCAGUAAAGUUCAAGAGAUUUUCAAAAUUAAAAAUUAGAAUAGCUGUUGAUUUUGCAUGCUUAGACCUAUGUUUUGGUUGAGAACUUGUAUUUCUCAAAUCAUGCAUGGAUCAAAUUGAGGUAUAAAAUAACAUUUCACAUAUGUGAAAGAAAACUUGUACUUUUAUGAUAUGUCGCACUUCAGUAAUAACAGUGUAGCCACCCUUGAAUUGUGUAUAAA
Non-coding RNA from Delphinapterus leucas (beluga whale), 7519 nucleotides. The record is from RefSeq and is a predicted model, not a curated record. Lineage: Eukaryota; Metazoa; Chordata; Mammalia; Artiodactyla; Monodontidae.